GAUGAACGCUGGCGGCGUGCCUAAUACAUGCAAGUCGAGCGAACGGACGAGAAGCUUGCUUCUCUGAUGUUAGCGGCGGACGGGUGAGUAACACGUGGAUAACCUACCUAUAAGACUGGGAUAACUUCGGGAAAUCGGAGCUAAUACCGGAUAAUAUUUUGAACCGCAUGGUUCAAAAGUGAAAGACGGUCUUGCUGUCACUUAUAGAUGGAUCCGCGCUGCAUUAGCUAGUUGGUAAGGUAACGGCUUACCAAGGCAGCGAUGCAUAGCCGACCUGAGAGGGUGAUCGGCCACACUGGAACUGAGACACGGUCCAGACUCCUACGGGAGGCAGCAGUAGGGAAUCUUCCGCAAUGGGCGAAAGCCUGACGGAGCAACGCCGCGUGAGUGAUGAAGGUCUUCGGAUCGUAAAACUCUGUUAUUAGGGAAGAACAUAUGUGUAAGUAACUGUGCACAUCUUGACGGUACCUAAUCAGAAAGCCACGGCUAACUACGUG
Molecule: ribosomal RNA, 497 nt
Filed under: uncultured bacterium
Lineage: Bacteria
Description: partial 16S ribosomal RNA
Rfam family: Bacterial small subunit ribosomal RNA
Source: RNAcentral